GACGUAGGGCGCGAGCGUUGUCCGGAUUUAUUGGGCGUAAAGAGCUCGUAGGCGGCUUGUCGCGUCGUUCGUGAAAACCUGCAGCUCAACUGCAGGCUUGCGGUCGAUACGGGCAGGCUAGAGUUCGGUAGGGGAGACUGGAAUUCCUGGUGUAGCGGUGAAAUGCGCAGAUAUCAGGAGGAACACCGGUGGCGAAGGCGACAUCCUGGACCGGUAUUGACGCUGAGGCGCGAAAGCCAGGGGAGCAAACGGG
This 253-nucleotide ribosomal RNA is filed under the name uncultured bacterium. RNAcentral's name for it is "partial 16S ribosomal RNA". It matches the Rfam family "Bacterial small subunit ribosomal RNA", at positions 524 to 776 of the family's 1533-position model. The record is from RNAcentral.